UACGGAGGGGGCUAGCGUUGUUCGGAAUUACUGGGCGUAAAGCGCACGUAGGCGGCUUUGUAAGUUAGAGGUGAAAGCCCAGGGCUUAACCCUGGAAUUGCCUUUAAGACUGCAUCGCUAGAAUCGUGGAGAGGUAAGUGGAAUUCCGAGUGUAGAGGUGAAAUUCGUAGAUAUUCGGAAGAACACCAGUGGCGAAGGCGACUUACUGGACACGUAUUGACGCUGAGGUGCGAAAAGCGUGGGGAGCAAACAGGG
This 255-nucleotide ribosomal RNA is filed under the name uncultured bacterium. RNAcentral describes it as "partial 16S ribosomal RNA". It matches the Rfam family "Bacterial small subunit ribosomal RNA", at positions 524 to 777 of the family's 1533-position model. The record is from RNAcentral.